AGUGAACGCUGGCGGUAGGCCUAACACAUGCAAGUCGAACGAGUGGCGGACGGGUGCGGAAUAUAUGGGAAUCUACAUUAUGGGGGGGGAUAACGAAGGGAAACUGACGCUAAUAAAGCAUACGAUCGGAUGAGCCGAUGUCUGAUUAGCUGGUAGGGGAGGUAAAGGCUCACCAAGGCGACGAUCCCUAGCUGGUCUGAGAGGAUGAUCAGCCACACUGGAACUGAGACACGGUCCAGACUCCUACGGGAGGCAGCAGUGGGGAAUAUUGGACAAUGGGCGCAAGCCUGAUCCAGCCAUGCCGCGUGUGUGAAGAAGGCCUUCGGGUUGUAAAGUCCUUUUAGUCGGGAAGCGGUACCCAAAGAAUAAGCACCGGCUAACUCCGUGCCAGCCGCCGCGGUAAUAC
This 406-nucleotide ribosomal RNA is filed under the name uncultured bacterium. Its description in RNAcentral is "partial 16S ribosomal RNA". It matches the Rfam family "Bacterial small subunit ribosomal RNA", at positions 29 to 526 of the family's 1533-position model. The record is from RNAcentral.